UUGUUUUAACUUUUUCGAAUUAUUUUGUAAUUUUCCCUUUGUCUAGUCUUCAAUUGUAUUAUUAUAAUUAAUGAUGAAAUUAGUUAAUCCUUUUUUAAAAUAUUUAAAAUCAAAGUAUAUGAAUAUCAUAAAUAUGAAUGAAUUUGGAUCUAUAUUUGGAUCACGUGUUGUAAUAGGAUUUGGAUCCGCCCUAAAUUUGGAUCAUUUGGUGAUCCAAAUUUAGAUAUAUGGUUGAAGUUGGCCUUAUAAGCACAAUAAAUUAUUUAAAAUGUACAAGACAAAUUUAUGUAUCUCUCCAAUCCAGAAUAUAUAUAUAUAAUUUUCUUCUUAUGUAUUAUUGGCAUUUUUCAAGUUAUUAGUUUUAGUAUUGUUGAAAUAUAUUUUUGUUUUUAAUUUAUGCAUAGUAUGUUAAAGUCCACUGUUUGUUCUCUGUCCUUAUGUUUAGAGUUGUACAAUCUUUGCAAUAAUUUGUCUCCAGAUUUGCGGCAAUGGCGAACGUGUGCAUUUUUUGAACAACUGGUUACGUCUUUGGCAUGAAAAAGGUUCUGGAACCAGCAAACUCUUGGUGAUAUAUACAGAGCACAAGAUGCUGACUACUCUUAUACAAGUGAAUCAGAUUUUGAGGAUAUAGAGGAAAAAAAUCGUCUGAAAAAUGUUCUCCUAAUUACUGGACCAAUCGGGGUAUGUGGUGACCAGGGACGAAGCCAGCAAACUUCUUUAAGGGGGGCCAAAAAAAAUUUCUUCGGCGCAUUAAAAUUUUUCAUCAGCACCGUAAAAUAUUCUUUAUAAAAUAAAUACAAAAAUACUAAUAAAAAAAGGGUAUUUAUCAAAUAUACAUCUUUUUAACAUUUUAAUUGCAAUAAUACAAUCUUUACCUAAAAAUUGCAGAUUUACUUUUUUUUAAAAAAAAUAACAUAACUAUUUGCACUUAUACGGCUCCCCUCACCCACCCAAAACCCUACGCGCCUCCUCUUGCUCCAGGCCUCUCUUCUCUGUCUCUCUCUUCCGCUUCCAUCUCUCAUCUCUUCGCUCUCUCUCUAUUUCCUUCUCCUCGCUCUUUUAUCCUUCUUUUUCUUUGUCUCAUUUUUUUCAUUAUCAGUUCCAUCAAACUUCAAUUGAUAAGAUAAAUUGUUGAUUAGGAUAUCAGAUCUUGGGUAAAUCAAAUUGAUUCCAAAAAAUGAUAAAUACAUGAGAAAGAUGGAGGAUACGAAUCAAGAGAAGUGAAGAAGGCCGGAGUGGAGGCUUCCAAAAGUGGCUGCUCGUGUUGAUUUUAGGUGCUCAGGAUAAGCUUUUGUUUCUUUUUAUGCUUUAUCUCUCUAGAAAGUUUUGGUUGGUGACGUUGUUUGUGGUUGCAAUACUAGUUGAUUUUGCUUUUGACCCCGCAGGGGCAUUUGUUUUUUUGUCUUUGCAACUCAUUGCAACUUAUUAUGCAAUUUAAUAUAAUUUUUACAGUUUUUUUUUUUAAAAGUUACAUAUGUAGUUGCAAGUAUGGUUGCUCGUAGUUGCAGAU
Molecule: long non-coding RNA, 1510 nt
Filed under: Daucus carota (carrot)
Lineage: Eukaryota; Viridiplantae; Streptophyta; Magnoliopsida; Apiales; Apiaceae
Description: long non-coding RNA (DCAR_LNC003031)
Source: RNAcentral